CAGCCGUAAACAAUGUGCGUUAGGUGUGUCGGUAACCACGCGUUACUGAUGCGCCGAAGAGAAAUCGUGAAACGCACCACCUGGGAAGUACGGUCGCAAGGCUGAAACUUAAAGGAAUUGGCGGGGGAGCACCACAACAGGUGGAGCCUGCGGUUUAAUUGGAUUCAACGCCGGACAUCUCACCGGAUAAGACAGCUGAAUGAUUGUCAAUCUGAAGACCCUGCAUGACCAGCUGAGAGGUGGUGCAUGGCGUAGUCGUGU
Molecule: ribosomal RNA, 261 nt
Filed under: uncultured archaeon
Lineage: Archaea
Description: partial 16S ribosomal RNA
Rfam family: Archaeal small subunit ribosomal RNA
Source: RNAcentral